RNAcentral lists this ribosomal RNA (497 nucleotides) under uncultured bacterium. RNAcentral describes it as "partial 16S ribosomal RNA". It matches the Rfam family "Bacterial small subunit ribosomal RNA", at positions 28 to 507 of the family's 1533-position model. The record is from RNAcentral.
GAUGAACGCUGGCGGCGUGCCUAAUACAUGCAAGUCGAGCGAACAGACGAGGAGCUUGCUCCUCUGACGUUAGCGGCGGACGGGUGAGUAACACGUGGAUAACCUACCUAUAAGACUGGGAUAACUUCGGGAAACCGGAGCUAAUACCGGAUAAUAUAUUGAACCGCAUGGUUCAAUAGUGAAAGACGGUUUUGCUGUCACUUAUAGAUGGAUCCGCGCCGCAUUAGCUAGUUGGUAAGGUAACGGCUUACCAAGGCAACGAUGCGUAGCCGACCUGAGAGAGUGAUCGGCCACACUGGAACGGAGACACGGUCCAGACUACUACGAGAGGGAGCAGUAGGGAAUCUUACGCAAUGGGCGAAAGCCUGACGGAGCAACGCCGCGUGAGUGAUGAAGGUCUUCGGAUCGUAAAACUCUGUUAUUAGGGAAGAACAAAUGUGUAAGUAACUAUGCACGUCUUGACGGUACCUAAUCAGAAAGCCACGGCUAACUACGUG